CGUUUGACAUCUUAGGAAUGACAUACAAAUGUUUCAGUGUCCCUUCGGGGAAACCUAAAGACAGGUGGUGCAUGGCUGUCGUCAGCUCGUGUCGUGAGAUGUUGGGUUAACUCCCGCAACGAGCGCCCCCCCUUUCGUAUGUUACCAUCAUUAAGUUGGGGACUCAUGCAAUACUGCCUGCGAUGAGCAGGAGGAAGGGGGGGAUGACGUCAAGUCAUCCUGCCCCUUAUACGCUGGGCUACCCACCUGCUACGAUGGGUAGAACAAAGAGUCACAAAGCUGUGAAGUGGAACUAAUCUCAGAAAACUAUUCUUAGUUCGGAUUGCACUCUGCAACUCGAGUACAUGAAGUUGGAAUCGCUAGUAAUCACGAAUCAGCAAUGUCGCGGUGAAUACGUUCUCGGGUCUUGUACACACCGCCCGUCACACCACGAGAGUUGGUUGCACCUGAAGUAGCAGGCCUAACCGUAAGGAGGGAUGCUCCGAGGGUGUGAUUAGCGAUUGGGGUGAAGUCAUAACAAGGUAUCCGUACGGGAACGUGCGGAUGGAUCACUUUCUUUCAAAAGAGAAAAAGUCUUUCUCUAUUCUAUUGGUAAUGUUCUUUACAUUACUUCUGAACAUUGGAAACUAUAUAGUACAACAAACA
Molecule: ribosomal RNA, 645 nt
Filed under: uncultured Fusobacterium sp.
Lineage: Bacteria; Fusobacteriati; Fusobacteriota; Fusobacteriia; Fusobacteriales; Fusobacteriaceae
Description: bacterial SSU rRNA
Rfam family: Bacterial small subunit ribosomal RNA (bases 1-559)
Source: RNAcentral